GUGGGGAAUAUUGCACAAUGGGGGAAACCCUGAUGCAGCGACGCCGCGUGAGUGAAGAAGUAUUUCGGUACGUAAAGCUCUAUCAGCAAGGAAGAAAAUGACGGUACUUGACUAAGAAGCCCCGGCUAACUACGUGCCAGCAGCCGCGGUAAUACGUAGGGGGCAAGCGUUAUCCGGAUUUACUGGGUGUAAAGGGAGCGUAGACGGUAUGGUAAGUCAGCUGUGAAAGCCCGGGACUCAACCCCGGGACUGCAUUUGAAACUAUCAGACUAGAGUGCAGGAGAGUUAAGUGGAAUUCCUAGUGUAGCGGUGAAAUGCGUAGAUAUUAGGAGGAACACCAGUGGCGAAGGCGGCUUACUGGACUGUAACUGACGUUGAGGCUCGAAAGCGUGGGGAGCAAACAGGAUUAGAAACCCUUGUAGUCC
Molecule: ribosomal RNA, 425 nt
Filed under: uncultured bacterium
Lineage: Bacteria
Description: partial 16S ribosomal RNA
Rfam family: Bacterial small subunit ribosomal RNA
Source: RNAcentral